This 466-nucleotide ribosomal RNA is filed under the name uncultured bacterium. RNAcentral describes it as "partial 16S ribosomal RNA". It matches the Rfam family "Bacterial small subunit ribosomal RNA", at positions 28 to 507 of the family's 1533-position model. The record is from RNAcentral.
GAUGAACGCUGGCGGCGUGCUUAACACAUGCAAGUCGAACGAUGAAGCCCAGCUUGCUGGGUGGAUUAGUGGCGAACGGGUGGGUAACACGUGGGUAACCUGCCCUUAACUCUGGGAUAAGCCUGGGAAACUGGGUCUAAUACCGGAUAGGAGCGUCCACCGCAUGGUGGGUGUUGGAAAGAUUUAUCGGUUUUGGAUGGACUCGCGGCCUAUCAGCUUGUUGGUGAGGUAAUGGCUCACCAAGGCGACGACGGGUAGCCGGCCUGAGAGGGUGACCGGCCACACUGGGACUGAGACACGGCCCAGACUCCUACGGGAGGCAGCAGUGGGGAAUAUUGCACAAUGGGCGCAAGCCUGAUGCAGCGACGCCGCGUGAGGGAUGACGGCCUUCGGGUUGUAAACCUCUUUCAGUAGGGAAGAAGCGAAAGUGACGGUACCUGCAGAAGAAGCACCGGCUAACUACGUG